RNAcentral lists this transfer RNA (89 nucleotides) under Arthrobacter sp. NicSoilC5. Its description in RNAcentral is "tRNA-Trp". Lineage: Bacteria; Bacillati; Actinomycetota; Actinomycetes; Micrococcales; Micrococcaceae. The record is from RNAcentral.
GGGUGCCUUGGGCCGGGCAGCAGGCCGCCGUUUUCCAGCGCCGGGGACUUUGGUUCCGGGGACCUUGGUUCCGGGCCGGGUGGUGACCG